Small nucleolar RNA from Cynocephalus volans (Philippine flying lemur), 213 nucleotides. RefSeq annotates it as small nucleolar RNA U3. The record is from RefSeq and is a predicted model, not a curated record. NCBI's taxonomy places the organism in Eukaryota, Metazoa, Chordata, Mammalia, Dermoptera, Cynocephalidae. The transcript has a single exon.
AAGACUAUACUUUCAGGGAUCAUUUCUAUACUGUGUUGCUAGAGAAGUGUUUCUGAAUGUGUAGGGUACUGGAAGCCACAAUUCUGAGCUGCAGUAUUUUCUCCUGAGCAUGAGGCUGGCCUGUGGUGUUGCCUAACAGCAGCUGCCACUUCUCCAUGUCUGUUUUCCUUUUUCUUUGGGAAAGUAACAGGGUGAAAAUACAAGCUGAACGGU